Molecule: long non-coding RNA, 787 nt
Filed under: Olea europaea subsp. europaea
Lineage: Eukaryota; Viridiplantae; Streptophyta; Magnoliopsida; Lamiales; Oleaceae
Source: RNAcentral
UUCGUAUUUUCAACUGAGGUAUAAAAAAGGAAUCUUCUCCAGAGUCAAGUUUCAGGGACAAUAAAUUUCAUAUUUGUCGAAAACAACAAAAAAGGAAGAAAAAGGACAAAUAAAAAAGGCCAUGGUCUUUAUUCCCCCAAAAAUAAAAAUAUCUUUCCUUUGCCAACAAUCUCACAAAAGCUCAAUGAUACUUUAAAUAAAAUAAAUUUAAGCACUUUAAGGCAAAGUGGCAGACUGAUGAUUUAAAUAUGAUAUAACGAACACCUAUAGAUUUCCCAAUUUAAUAAAACUUGACUUGCAUAGCUAUAGCCAAGAUUGGGGAGCACCAAAGAUUUGGGUUCGACCUUCUACGAUCUUCAUGAGACACUUGCUUAGCCUCAAGGUUGGCUGGGCCGAGCCGUUUGACCAAAUGGCUUCACCCGUAUCAUGCAGCCUGGCCAACUCACUAGUCCACAAGCCCGGUGAUUUUGUCAAUUCUGACACUUCAUAAUCAAAAUUGAAAAUAGCCGGAAGACAUUAAUAUUAUGAUUCUUGAUAUAUUCAGAUAUUCAGUGCUAUAUGCACGUGCGUAGGUGGCUCACGAGUCUUGGGUUGAUAAAUUUGUGAACUACAUCUGUGUGCUAUAAGGAGAAAUCAGACUAUUCAUCACAAGUUUCUUCACACAUUCUAGGAGCUUGCCAGUGGUAUUCCAGGAUCCUGUCUUGAAAUUUUCCCAAAUAGGGCUCCGAAUAGCAGACGAGAUCAGCUCCAAAUCUAUCAACCUGGGUAAAACCAAUGUCGAUUGGAU